RNAcentral lists this ribosomal RNA (754 nucleotides) under uncultured archaeon. Its description in RNAcentral is "bacterial SSU rRNA". It matches the Rfam family "Archaeal small subunit ribosomal RNA", at positions 102 to 859 of the family's 1478-position model. The record is from RNAcentral.
AGUCAACAUGCCCAGGGGACGUGGAUAACCUCGGGAAACUGAGGCUAAACCGCGAUAGGCCAAGAUUUCUGGAAUGGAUCAUGGCCCAAAUCUAUAUGGCCCCUGGAUUGGACUGCGGCCGAUCAGGCUGUUGGUGAGGUAAUGGCCCACCAAACCUGUAACCGGUACGGGCUCUGAGAGGAGGAGCCCGGAGAUGGGCACUUAGACAAGGGCCCAGGCCCUAUGGGGCGCAGCAGGCGCGAAACCUCUGCAAUAAGCGAAAGCUUGACAGGGUUACUCUGAGUGAUUUCCGCUAAGGAAGUCUUUUGGCACCUCUAAAAAUGGUGCAGAAUAAGGGGUGGGCAAGUCUGGUGUCAGCCGCCGCGGUAAUACCAGCACCCCGAGUGGUUGGGACGAUUAUUGGGCCUAAAGCAUCCGUAGCCGGUCCUGCAAGUCCUCCGUUAAAUCCACCCGCUCAACGGUUGGGCCGCGGGGGAUACUACAGGGCUAGGAGGCGGGAGAGGCAAGCGGUACUCGAUGGGUAGGGGUAAAAUCCACUGAUCCAUUGAAGACCACCAGUGGCGAAGGCGGCCUGCCAGAACGCGCUCGACGGUGAGGGAUGAAAGCUGGGGGAGCAAACCGGAUUAGAUACCCGGGUAGUCCCAGCUGUAAACGAUGCAGACUCGGUGAUGGGCUGGCUUCGUGCCAACCCGGUGCCGCAGGGAAGCCGUUAAGUCUGCCGCCUGGGGAGUACGGUCGCAAGACUGAAACUUAA